GAUGAACGCUGGCGGCGUGCCUAACACAUGCAAGUCGAACGAAGUGGCGGACGGGUGAGUAACACGUGAGCAACCUGCCUUUCAGAGGGGGAUAACGGCUGGAAACGGUCGCUAAUACCGCAUGCUGAAAGAUGGGCUCGCGUCUGAUUAGAUAGUUGGUGGGGUAACGGCCUACCAAGUCUACGAUCAGUAGCCGGACUGAGAGGUUGAACGGCCACAUUGGGACUGAGAUACGGCCCAGACUCCUACGGGAGGCAGCAGUGGGGAAUAUUGCACAAUGGGGGAAACCCUGAUGCAGCAACGCCGCGUGAAGGAUGACGGUUUUCGGAUUGUAAACUUCUUUUCUUAGUGACGCGGUAGCUAAGGAAUAAGCAUCGGCUAACUACGUGCCAGCAGCCGCGGUAAUACGUAGGAUGCAAGCGUUAUCCGGAUUUACUGGGUGUAAAGGGGGCGCAGGCGGGACUGCAAGUUGGAUGUGAAAUACCGUGGCUUAACCACGGAACUGCAUCCAAAACUGUAGUUCUUGAGUGAAGUAGAGGCAAGCGGAAUUCCGAGUGUAGCGGUGAAAUGCGUAGAUAUUCGGAGGAACACCAGUGGCGAAGGCGGCUUGCUGGGCUUUAACUGACGCUGAGGCUCGAAAGUGUGGGGAGCAAACAGGAUUAGAUACCCUGGUAGUCCACACUGUAAACGAUGAUAGCUAGGUGUGGGGCCGUGCCGGAGUUAACGCAAUAAGCUAUCCACCUGGGGAGUACGACCGCAAGGUUGCAACUCAAAGGAAUUGACGGA
RNAcentral lists this ribosomal RNA (786 nucleotides) under uncultured bacterium. RNAcentral describes it as "bacterial SSU rRNA". It matches the Rfam family "Bacterial small subunit ribosomal RNA", at positions 28 to 917 of the family's 1533-position model. The record is from RNAcentral.